UCAAACUUGGUCAUUUAGAGGAAGUAAAAGUCGUAACAAGGUUUCCGUAGGUGAACCUGCGGAAGGAUCAUUAACGAGUUUUAAUUGUUUAGGUUAGAGUUGAGCUGGUUAAUCCAAUUAAUAUGUGCUCACUCUAAUUAAACAAGUCCACUCAUUGCUUAACACUUGUGAACUUAUUCAUUACAAACAUUAUUAUUUGUCAUUGGAACGUUUGAUUAUUAAAAGUUAAUACAACUUUCAACAACGGAUCUCUUGGCUCUCGCAUCGAUGAAGAACGCAGC
This 281-nucleotide unclassified non-coding RNA is filed under the name uncultured fungus. RNAcentral's name for it is "partial contains small subunit ribosomal RNA, internal transcribed spacer 1, and 5.8S ribosomal RNA". The stretch from base 1 to 73 matches the Rfam family "Eukaryotic small subunit ribosomal RNA", at positions 1759 to 1831 of the family's 1831-position model. Lineage: Eukaryota; Fungi. The record is from RNAcentral.